Long non-coding RNA from Apodemus sylvaticus (European woodmouse), 6187 nucleotides. RefSeq lists it as uncharacterized. Lineage: Eukaryota; Metazoa; Chordata; Mammalia; Rodentia; Muridae. The transcript has 2 exons. The record is from RefSeq and is a predicted model, not a curated record.
UCUUUCUCCUCUUCCUCUUCCUUCUCCUCCUCCCCAGUGUGGCCACAUUGGCAAAGUCUUAGCUUUCAGUUUUUUCUUUAAUUCACACAGUGAAGACAGAUGGUGGCCUGUCUAAUUGUUAAGCCUACCAGGGCUUAGGCUCCGACCCUGACAGCUCUGACACCAACUUCAUCUACCUGUAGCAGCACCCUGAUCUUCAUGCACCUUAUUUUAGGGGGGAAAGGGUGUGUGUGGGGGGGGAGCCAUGGGCAAGUCCAGGCAGCAGGCAAUUGGGUGGAAACAUCCUACACGACCACACCCUGAGUCCUCUAGCCUAGGAAAAUGUAAAGGGGACUCUGAGAAGGAGCCUCCUAAAUGAAUCAAGAUCCAGGCAUAUCAUCAGAGGCUUCAGCUGCCCCAGAAAGCAGCUCAGGAUUUUAUUAUAUUUCCUCUUUUUUUUCCUGUGAGGCAUUUUUUUUACACCAAUGUUUUACAUCCUAGAAAAAUAACCUAAGGUUUUCCUUCCUGUGUGAUUUUGUCUUGCUUCUUCAUAGUUCAUGAUGUCAGCUGAGGUUGACAGUACAAUAAAACCAAACCGAUGUGACAGGAGAGGUGAUUUUGCUACUCUCUAGGUCUUGGAGCUGCACAUCAAACCUGGAGCUCAUCACUCCAGGUUUGCUUAGCCUGUGUGUGAGGUUGACAACAUUCUUCCUAGAUCUAAUGAUCAACAAUUCCAAAUUCUCAGGUGCAACCAGGCUUAAUCUUCGCAGUCAGAAACAAGACAAUCACCUCAGAGCAUGCCAGUAAGGAACUGACACUUGCUUCUCUCUUUAGUUUUCUUGAGAGUUCAGCCAGGACAUUCAUGUGUACUGUUAAUGGUGGCAUGGACGACAGGCAGAAAGAGAGGGGGCAGGCUGGAGAGAUGGUGAAGGGAGUUGGGACUUUUCAGAAUCCAUAGUUGAGGCAGCAAGCAGACUAGAGACCGGGCAUGCUGGACAAGCUUGAAGCAAGGUUGUGGUUGAGCCAUUGCACAAACAGAUGGGCCAUAAAAGAUAAGGAGCAUGCCUGAGAAAACUCCUAUGGGUCAUACACUAUCUGGACUGGAGUCUCCUGUCUCCUGUCCCUUAGAUGCAGCUUAAAAUGACCUUCCUGCUAACAAAAAUAAACCACCCUCCUACAUUGCUGAUGGCCCGAUCUGCACGUAUGCAAAAAACCAAAAAAACAAAAAAACAAAAAACAAAACAAAAAAAAACCCCACCCUGCGCGUCAGAAUCCCCUGCCAAUGUUUGAAUCAGCAAAUCAUGUGUAACCGCACCAACCCCCCCUGAUAACCCCCCUGACUUUUCCUAUAUAAACCCCUAACUUUUGAGCCUCAGGGUCGACUCCACUGUCUCCUGUGUUGGCCCAGAACUCUGAUAAUGAACUACCUCAUGCGUUUGCAUCAAGUCGGUCUCUCGCAUGUCCUUGGGUGUAUGCUAUCCGGAGAAUGGAGUGGGGGUCUCCCCAAAAGGAGGUCCUACAUUUGGUGGCCCGUACAGGAAAAUUGGUGGCACCCAGGAACCUCGAAGACCCCUUGGAGCCCACCAAAAUCAGGUCAUGUGACUCAGAACAACUCAGAACAAAAGGACAGACAAAAUAUUUGGACUCUGACACUCCCUGGAAAAUAAGCCUUAACAAGAAGCUCAAUGUGGCUGGUGCGAGUAUUAUGGUACAUUAAAUUGGUACAGAUGGUUUAUUUCUUUUAUUUUAACUUGUUUAAAUUGUUAUGAUCAAUAUGAUGUUAAACUUUGUGGUUAUAUUGUUCCUCUGGGAGAGAGGUCAAAAUAAGGGAGACCUCCAGAAGACUAGAUUCUAAAAUAUUAAAUGAAAAAACUGUCUUUGUGAUACUAAAAUCUUGUUUUGAGAUUUACAUUACAGAAAAUAGCACUUCUCUUCAUAUCAACAUCCAUGUUCAGACUGAAGAAACGGUCUUUCUAAAAAAAUAUAAAAAUGGUCAGAUUUAAAACGGGGAGAAAAUAAAAUUAAUUUCAUUUGAUACAAAUCUUUAUAAUUGUUAUUAAGUUCAAAGCAUAAGUUUUUAUUUGAUACAGGUUUUAUUGGUAUAAAUACUAAAUUUGAAAGUACAGGAUUUACACCCAGCUCUUUGUUAUUAUCACCGAGCUGAGGUGUUUAAGCCUGUGAGUUUAGGGCCAAAUAGAAGUUUAAGGCUCUGAGUUUAUUGUUAGGGUGUUUUCUAGGUUUUAAUCAGAAAUAGCUGAAGAUAGUUUAACAGACAACAGUCCAUAUUACUUUACAUAGAUAGCUGGUUUUCAAAAAUGUCAAAAAUCCAUGGAAUAUAAUGUUUAAGUCUUAAAAGCUAUGUUAAGCUUUCUAUAUAUUUUUAGUUAAUAUUGGUCACUCUUAGAUUUCUGAUGGUAUUGAAGACUGUUAGUCUCACAGACAGCCCAAGCUGUUUAAUCCUGAGAAAGCUGAUAUAGAUUUAAAUAAAUGAUUUUCAGGUAACAUAAAAUUUAAAGCCAGGACACGAGUCAAUUCUUACAAUGUUAAUUUUUAAGUGUUAAUUCUGACAGUCUUUUAAGAUAAUACAGAUAAAAAGGUUCAGUUUAAUUGACAGGGAUGAUAAACUAAGUGUUAUGUCUAUCUCAUAGUUUAUAAUUUACAAAAUGGUAAUAAUUAUGCUCAAUUGAUAUUUAGAGAGGACCACAGAGUGGAGCAGGAGAGGACCUGAGACCACCUAUCCUGAUACCAUGGUAGCUCUCUCACUAAGGGAAUAUUUCCCAAGAGACUAAUUAAUCUCUUUGAGACUGUUUUAUUUGUAAUACAGGAAGCCAAGAAGAUUACCCCCUCAGACAAAAGGUAAGAGGCAGACCAACACCAGACUCCAUUGGCAGGUCUCGAGGGCCUGGCAGCCCACAAAUUUGACCAAGGUAUGUAAGGUUAAGCAGGGACCAGAUGAGUCACCUGCAGCUUUUCUAGAGCAGCUCAUAGAGGCAUUCUGUCCGUAUACAUGCUAUGAAUCUGGGGCAAGGACUAUAAAGCUAUUAUAUUAUGACAAUGGCUUUUAUAGACGGGGCUAAUAGAGAUAUCAGGAAAAAGCUUCAGAGGCUAGAGGGAUUUGGUGCAGGUUUCUGAGAAGGACUCUGAAUGUGGAGAGGGCGUAGUGAAGGGAUAGAACCUUUAGAAGAUGGUCUUUGAAGAUAGAGUCUAGUAAAAGUGGGGACACGUGACGAGCAGUUUGGAGGCAAAUAGAAGAGCUAGUUUGCUCCUUCAGCUAUGUUUCCUUGCCUUAGAAAUAAAAAGUCUAUAGAAAGAUUUAGUACAGUUUGCUGAGACAGGGAGACAGAGAAAGAGAAGGCAUGGAGGAAAAAAAGAAAGAAAGAAAAUGACAGAGAAAAAAGCUACAGAGGAUCCUGACUAUAAUAGUGAGAAAAAGCAGAAAAGGGAGACAGAAAAGGACCAGUGUGCAUACUAUAAGGAAAGAGGCCACUGAGCCAGAGUGUGCCCUAAGAGAUAGAAGCUGGGAGUAGGAAUUCCCAGGUCUUGAGAAAAGUGCACCCAAAUGGUAAACCCAGGUGUUAACCCUGGGUGAAGACAGUGACUAGGGGAGAUGGGUUUUCUGACCACCUUCCCCAACCCAGGAAAACUGUGGGAAUGAAAGAGAAACCCACUCAGUUCUUGGUGGACACACAGGCUCAACACUAGGUCUUUCAAGCCAAUGGCGCUGUUUCCAAGAAAAGAUCUUGGGUCCAAGAAGCCACUGGCACCAAAAUGUAUUCAUGGACUACCCAAAGAACAGUGGACCUAGGGAUGGGAUGGGUAGCCCAUUCAUUUAGGGUCACCCCAGACUGUUCCUACUCUCUGUUGGAGUGAGACAUACUCUCCAAAAUGGGGAGGGGGCAGAUAUGCUUCCUGCCCAAGGGGCUGCAACUAACUGGCCCAAAAAGAGAGACUGACCCCUGCUGAAAGUCGCUACAGACAGGAGCAGUUUUCUCCACGAUGGACAGAGAUAAGCAGGUGCUGCUAUGGUGGAUGGCACAAAUGUCAUCUGGGUGCCAGAAUCUUUACCCCCUGGCAUGUCAAUGCAGAAAGUGGAGCUCGUUGCUCUCACCAAGACCUUGGAACUUGGAACCAGCAAGAAAAUCAACAGCCAUAUGGAUAAUAGGUAUGCCUUUGCCACAGCCCACGUUCACAGGGAUAUAUGCCAAGAGGACUGCUCACAUCAGAGGAAACCAACAGGAAAUUGUGGACUUCUUAGAUGUCCUAAUGAAGCCAGCCACUGUGAAUAUUCACUGGCCAGGACAUCCAAAGGGAAAAGACUAAAUGGACAAUAACCAGGCAGAGCAAAUGGCUCCAGGAAUGGAUGUACAGGAGCCUAUACUGGUUAUGGGUCUGUAAGAGACAGCCACUGGGAAAUGGAACAAAAUUAAGAAAGAGCCUCACUUAAAAAAGACUGAAAUUGCUAAUUACCCUACCAACUAUUGCCAAGAGAAGGUGCACACAAGAAGGGAGAACUAUACUCCCCAGAAAGUAAGCCAAAGACUCACUAGGCCAAAUGCACAGAUGGACUAAUUUAGGGGAUUAAAAACAUUGUCCUGGCAGUUAAGGGACCAAAUGUAUAUAUUUAUGACUCAGGUUUUAGGCUAGAGAGAUAAAAGAAAAAUGUAAGAUUUGCCAGCAAGUAAAUGCUUAUACAGUAAAGAGUAAACAGGACAAAAGGCCUAAAAGAGAACAGCUGCCAAGGUUAGAAGAAGUUUUCCCGAGUUUCAGAGUGCCCAAGGUAAUUGGAUCAGAUAAUGGUUCUGUUUUUGUUUCUAAGGUAAGUCAGACAUUGACAGAGAUAUUGGGGACUAAUUGGAAACAUUAUUGGACGUACUGUCCCCAGGGCUCAAGGCAGGUAGAGAGAAUAAACAAAACCCUAUGAGAGAACUUAAUUAAAUUGACCUUGGAGCCUGGCUCAGGCUGGGUGGUGCUUCUCCCCUUGUUUCUGAACAGCCCCUACCAUUUUAACCUGACCCUCCUAGAGAUACUCUUUGAUACCCAACUCCUUUGGUGUCCACUGGGCCCUCCCAGGAGAUGUCCCACACUAUGUAAUUUGCCUUAAAUGCUCCAGGCAUGCCAGAGACUCUUCACUGCUUCCAGAUAGGUGACUGGAUCUGUAUAAGAAGGUUUCAGGAACAAUUGCUGAAACCCUGAUGAAAAAACCCUCACCAAAUUGACCACAAAGACUGGUGUUAAUGAUUAGAUAGCUCUCCUACCCUUUGUGCUCGUCAAGCUUUUGUUCUCUAGGCUGAAGGUGCUCAAGUGGAUGAGGCAGUGAGCAUAGAAGCAGCUCUGGGAGGACUACUCAGGAGGAGACUUGGAAGUCCCACACCGUUUCCAAGUUGGAGAUUCGGUCUACAUUAGACGCCACUGUGCAAAAUACCUUGAGACUUGGUGAAAAGGCCCUUAUCUUGUACUCUUGACCACCCUGCUUUCUGCUUUGAUGAGACCCUUUGUAAUUUUACUCCCUUGGCUUACAAUUGGAACCUGUGUAAUUAACCAGUUAAUAGUUUUUUAUUAGAGAAUAUAUAAGUGCUGUGUAGAUUCUUAUGCUAUGCCAACAAAAUCAGAGAUUAGGGCAGGACAAUCCAGAAUAUAUAGAGUCAGAGAUUUAAUUCUAUAGUUCUAAGAUUAGAACUCCUAACAAAAAAAGAAGAGGGGAAAUGAAGGGAGUUGGGACUUUUCAGAAUCCAUAGUUGAGGCAGCAAGCAGACCAGAGCCCGGGCACGCUGGACAAGCUUGAAGCAAGGUUGUGGUUGAGCCAUUCCACAAACAGACCAGCCAUAAAAGAUAAGGGGCAUGCCUGGGAAAACUCCUAUGGGUCAUACACUAUCUGGACUGGAGUCUCCUGUCUCCUGUCCCUUAGAUGCAGCUUAAAAUGACCUUCCUGCUAACAAAAAUAAACCACCCUCCUACAUUGCUGACAGCCCGAUCUGCAAAAAAACAAACAAACAAACAAACAAAAACCCACCCUGCGUGCCAGAAUCCCCUGCCAAUGUUUGAAUCAGCAAAUCAUGUGUAACCGUGUCAAACCCCCCUGACAACCCCCCUGACUUUUCCUAUAUAAAGCCCUAACUUUUGAGCCUCAGGGUCAACUCCACUGUCUCCUGUGUGAGAUACGUGUAGGCCCAGAGCUCUGAUAAUAAACUACCUCAUGCGUUUGCAUCAA